AUGGGCUGGGGGCCCGGCACUGCUGCGGAAAUUCUAGCUCCAGCACAAGACAAUCCUGGGACAGGGGCCGUCCCCGCCUGCAGGAGCCUCCUCUCUACUUCCAGCACGGAGGGGCAGCGCAGCAGGGUACGCCGGAGGCAGGGUAAUGCCCAACGUGCUAUGGCCGGCCUGGAGAUUUGCCAGAAAAGCGCCAGGAGGCACCCACCCCCCCGACUUUGCCCUGCUCGGCUCCCAGGACCACCCCCUCGGGCUCAAGCUGUCGCCCUCAGCCGCUGCAUGGCAGAGACUGAGCUGGCCCGGGGCUUGCUCUGGGAGCCCCCGUCGCCAUCUCUGUUCUCCUCCCCCUCCUCCUCCUCAUCUCCACCACGUCGUAAGCUCCUGAGCCCGCCUCGGCUGUUGUGUCAGUUGCUUCUUCUACCCCCAUUUUUCACAGAAAUAUUUGAUCACAGAACAUCUGCUACCAUCUGCGGAACGUACUUCCCCAGUCGGCGGCUCUGCACUUCCCGUAGCUGUGGGCUCAGCCGCGGCGCCCCAUCCGGCUGCAUCCUCCAUGCCACCAGCCAGACACGGGUGACGCUUGCGGCGGGGCUCCGUAGGACAGGACACACAGCGUGCCAGCUGCGCCUUGGCGACUGACCGCGUCCCACUGGCCUUGUUAUGCUGAUUCUGCCCGCUGUUGCUUUAGACAUGAAAAUGCGCUCACCAGGCGACGCCUAGGACCUUUCUGGUGUGUCUGGCUCUUGCCAGUUCAGCGUAUCAAGAUCCGGGGCAGGCAGUUGGCGCAGCAGCUCAGAUGCUAUCUCAGAAGCUCCUGUCCCACGCGGGCGUGUCUGGGUUCAAGUCCCAGCUUCCUGCUGACGCAGACCCUGGGAGGCAGUGCUGGUGGCUCAAGGAAUUGGGUCUCUGCCGCUCACGUGGGAGACCUACGCGGAGUUUCUGGCUCCUGGCUUCCACCUGACUGAGCCCCACCCAUUGCGGGCAUUUAGGGGACGAACCAGCAGAUGGGAAUGGCCUCUCUCUCCCUUUCUGAUAAUUUUUUAAAAAAUCUUCAGUUGCUGGAAUUUUGAGGCACUCCCUGACACAGUGCUGACACUUCAGCCGCCAGCCAUCUACCGAUCGGCCUGCGUUUAUAUCCGGUUUCUAGGAACUGCAACUCCCACUUGAGUCUUUGGCUUAAUUAAUUCUACUGUCAAGCUUCUUACUAUUGAAACAAGGUUGCAAGGCCCAGCGUUGUGGCACAGCAGGUAAAGCUGCCGCCUGCAACAUAUGGGUGCUUGUUCAUGUCCCGGCUGUUCCAUUUCCAGCUCCCUGCUAAUGGCCUGGGAAAGCAGUGGAGGAUGGCCCAAGUCCUUGGGCCCCUGCACCCACGUGGGAGACCUGGAAGAAGCUCCUGGCUCCUGGCUUCAGCCUGGCCCAGCCCUGGCCAUUAUGGACACCUGGGGAGUGAACCAGUAGAUGGAAGACGUCUCUCUCUCUUCUCUCUUCUCUCUCUCUGUAACUUUUCCAAAAUAAAUAAUAUCAGUCUUUUUUUAAAGAUUUAUUU
Molecule: long non-coding RNA, 1543 nt
Filed under: Oryctolagus cuniculus (rabbit)
Lineage: Eukaryota; Metazoa; Chordata; Mammalia; Lagomorpha; Leporidae
Description: lncRNA (ENSOCUG00000031131.1)
Source: RNAcentral